AUGCCACCGGAUCGAGACAUCAAGUUUUUGAUAGAGCUACUGCCAGGUACCGGGCCAAUAUCCAAGAGACCCUAUCGGAUGCCCGCGAAUGAUUUGGAGGAAAUUAAGAAACAGAUCAAGGAGUUGUUGGAGAAAGGAUACAUUCGAAGGAGUUCAUCACCUUGGGGAGCCCCAGUGCUUUUGGUUGAGAAGAAGGAUAAAUUCCUAAGAAUGGUUGUUGAUUAUCGGGCCUUAAAUGAAGUGAUGAUCAAGAACAAGUACCCACUGCCGAUGAUCAAUGAUCUAUUUGAUCAGCUGCAAGGAGCUAAGGUGUUUUCAAAGAUCGAUUUGUGA
RNAcentral lists this ribosomal RNA (333 nucleotides) under Triticum aestivum (bread wheat). RNAcentral describes it as "partial small subunit ribosomal RNA". Lineage: Eukaryota; Viridiplantae; Streptophyta; Magnoliopsida; Poales; Poaceae. The record is from RNAcentral.